Molecule: long non-coding RNA, 2561 nt
Filed under: Homo sapiens (human)
Lineage: Eukaryota; Metazoa; Chordata; Mammalia; Primates; Hominidae
Description: uncharacterized LOC101927745, transcript variant 2 (LOC101927745)
Source: RNAcentral
GAACUUUCCAGCUAGAGUUUGACCUAAGGAAGGAUUUCAAAACUUACCCCUGCAAUGCUUUAACAGCAUUCAAGUCAAAUGGAGGCUUUUCAUACAGUGAAAUCCACAGUAGCUCUCUGUGGUAUGUAGGGCUACUAGCCAGAUAUACCUGAAAGCAAGCGCUUGCCUUGCUCUCCCUCUGCCACAGAACGAUGACACAGGGAUAACAAAGGGAAAUACCAGGGAAUGUCAAGUCAAACAAAUCGUAGAUCUUCUCUGGCGGCUUCUUUGACCUUGUUCUGAGUGAACACCGUGUACAUCAAGGAAGAUAAUUACAACUUUUUCAAGUCUUCUAAAAUCGAACUCCCUGUGGUGGCGACCAGUAUCUUCAAACUCAUACCAGAGUAAAGCCUUAUCCAUUUGGAGUUCUUUCUGAUGCAUUAUGUGAGAAAAACAAGCAAACAAAUGAACACUUAUUUGUAUUUGAAUUGCACUAAAUUUAUACAUGAAACUGAAAAAAACUGAUAUCUUUAUGAAGCUGCAUAAUCCUAUCCAAGGACAGACGUCUCCUUCCAUUUGUUUUGGAUACAUCUGGAAUUGACUUUUUUGCAUGGUGUAAGAAAUAACAGUUCUUCCUGGAUCAGCCCUCUCCCGUCUGUCAUCUCCAACAGAUACAAAGCCAGCUUUAAGAAGACCAAACCUACAAAAAUCAUUCAUGCUUUCUGCCUCCAUGUUUUUCUUUCCAACCUAGUUCCUCCAGAAAAUGUAAAAGAGCAACCGAACCGUCAACUGGUACAAUGACUUCUACACAUCAGACCUCGGCCACGCCACAGUCAUCAGAUUAUUCUAUCACAGGGUCUCUCAACCGUGGAAUAUGGUCUCCAAGGGAAACAAGCCACAGAGGGCUCAGGAGCAUUGCUAUAAAGAGUAGGCAAAUGGAAAUCUUUCCCCAAAGGGCACACUGGGAUUGUUAGGCGAGGGCUGCUCAAUCCAUUAAAAGUUUAAACUCGAAAAAAAAAAAGAAAAAAAAAACCUUUUGAAAAAAUACAGAAAGCAACCUGUUCUAGAUUUUGUGUAUAAAAGAGAGUUUAUUCAGGGGACUGAAAUGUUGACAGUGAAUCAACUGGGAGGAUAUUUUCAAUCAGAACCGUCUGACUGACAGCUUUCAUAUUAUUAAUGCACAUACUAGGAGACAUCAAAUUUGAAGGGCAGGCAUUGUGCUAAGUCAGACUUCUACCUUAAAAUGCAUUACAUUUUGUCUGUAAAUCAAGGUCAGUUAUUAAAUUAAGGUGCUCUCAUCCCUAAAUACUUUAUUCCAUCAUCGUGUGUAAUUAAUCACAAACCCCUUACUUGGGGUUCUUUAGAAAGUGAUGAGCAAAACCCAUAAAAAAUUAAGAGAAAAAAUAACAGGUAUCUUUUAAAAAACAGGGAAUAAGUGCAAGGAAAUUUAAGUAUAAGUAAAAAAAUUUGCACGAUUCUUUAAAUAGAUAAUAGAUAUAAUAAUAAUAAUUUUGCAGCCCUACAAUUCCACAGCAUAUUAAUCUUUUCAAAUCUGUUAUUUUUCACCAUUAAAACAAUCAUGUAAAACAGGUGGAGUACUUCAAUAUUCCAAUUUCACAGAUGCAUACACUGAGUCAAGGAAAAGUUAAGUAUCUAUUAAGUCAUCCAGCUUACUGGAUAUGGAACUGAGACUUGAAAGCAUAUCUUCUAAAUCCGACCUCUUCUCUAAAGAUAGUGUCACCUUUCUCCAAAGAUAGUGUCAGGACAUAGAAAGCAGAAGUUAAACUGUAUGCGCUAUUCUGCCUUCCAUACUUAUUUUUCCCAAGAAGUAAUUUAAAAAACACAUUGGAGAUAAUGCUUGUGAAGCACUUUGCUAAAUGCUAAAUUGUCCGAACACUUUGGAAAAAAGUGGCAGUUUCUUAAAAAAUUAACAAAGAAUUACCAUAUGACCCAGCAAUUCCACUCCUAGCCAUGUACUGAGGAGAACUGAAAAUAUAUGUCCAUGUAAAAACUUAGAGUUAAAUAUUUGUAGCAGCUUUAUUUAAAAUAGCCAAAAAGUGGAAACAACCCCCCAAAAAUGUGCCUCAGUGAUGGAUGUAUAAAUAAAACAUGUUGUAUACAUAACAAUGAAAUAUUAUUUAGCCACAAAAAGAAAUGAAGUUUCUUUUUAUAUUAGUUGGCCAUAAAAAGAAAUAAAGAGUUUUUUGUUUUGUUUUGUUUUGUUUUUUUGUAGCAUGUACUGACCUGGAAAACCUCAUGCUAAGUGAAAGAAGGCAGUUACAAAGGACCACAUAUUUUUGAUACCAUUUAUAUAACAUGUCUAGAACAGGCAAAUCUAGAGAGAUGGAAAGUAGGUUAGUGGUUGGCUAGUACUAGAGUAAGCAAGCAGGGAUUGGAGGGUAUUGGCUAAGGAAUACAGGGUUUCUUUCUGUGGUGCUUUUCUUAAAAAGUUCUAAAAUUGAUUGUUGUGUUGUUUGCACAAUGCUGUGAAUAUCCUAAAAGCUACUGAAUGAUACACUUUAAAUGGGUGAAUUAUAUGGUAGGUAGAUUAUGUCUCAAUAAAACUGUUAAAAAACACAAAA